This 30-nucleotide ribosomal RNA is filed under the name uncultured fungus. RNAcentral's name for it is "partial 28S ribosomal RNA". Lineage: Eukaryota; Fungi. The record is from RNAcentral.
UUUGACCUCAGAUCAGGUAGGACUACCCGC